This 161-nucleotide ribosomal RNA is filed under the name Escherichia coli. Its description in RNAcentral is "partial 23S ribosomal RNA". It matches the Rfam family "Bacterial large subunit ribosomal RNA", at positions 1 to 162 of the family's 2925-position model. Lineage: Bacteria; Pseudomonadati; Pseudomonadota; Gammaproteobacteria; Enterobacterales; Enterobacteriaceae. The record is from RNAcentral.
GGUUAAGCGACUAAGCGUACACGGUGGAUGCCCUGGCAGUCAGAGGCGAUGAAGGACGUGCUAAUCUGCGAUAAGCGUCGGUGAGGUGAUAUGAACCGUUAUAACCGGCGAUUUCCGAAUGGGGAAACCCAGUGUGUUUCGACACACUAUCAUUAACUGAA